This 253-nucleotide ribosomal RNA is filed under the name uncultured bacterium. RNAcentral describes it as "partial 16S ribosomal RNA". It matches the Rfam family "Bacterial small subunit ribosomal RNA", at positions 524 to 776 of the family's 1533-position model. The record is from RNAcentral.
UACGUAGGGGGCUAGCGUUGUCCGGAUUUAUUGGGCGUAAAGAGCGUGUAGGCGGCCAGGUAGGUCUGCUGUGAAAACUCGAGGCUUAACCUCGAGAUGUCGGCGGAAACCAUCUGGCUAGAGUCCGGAAGAGGAGAGUGGAAUUCCUGGUGUAGCGGUGAAAUGCGCAGAUAUCAGGAAGAACACCCGUGGCGAAGGCGGCUCUCUGGAACGCAACUGACGCUGAGGUGCGAAAGCGUGGGGAGCAAACAGG